GCAAACUUCUCACAAAAAAUCAUUUCUCAUUAGUUAAUCCAUUUCUUUACCAUUUUUACGAAAGAUUCACCAAGUCAUUCGUUUUUCGGUAAAGCGACACUGACAUGAGAUAUCAAAUCAACCGGUUCAGUGGUGAUGAUAUAUGUUGGGAUUGAACCCUAUCAGAGGAACAGAUAAUUAGAGCCAAAACUGAAUCAGGUCAGUGGAUCCAGAAUAAGUAGAUAUUAUUCAUACAAGUCUCUCCCCUUGAAAGUGAUUUUAACAUCUACUGACCUCAUAUCUACUGAUCAUACAAACUGCUGACCUACAACUGCUGAUCUAGUCAAAGACUGAUGAAGAACUAAAGCCCUGCUGCCCAAUCUACUGCCUUGAGUCAAGCACUGCUGAUCAUGACAAGUACUACUGGGUUCACAGCAGUGGAAGGAUGCAGCAGUAGUUUUGUUUACUUUAUGUAAUGUAUUGUAAUAUCAGUAGUUAGCAUAGCAGAGGUUGUAUAGAUCAAAGGUUAGAGUUUGUUAGGAGGUUAGAUGUCACUUUCAUGGUGACGUCAGCUUAGAUACUUCAGUGGUUUGCUCGUGCCUAUAAAUAGAACAGUGCUCUGUACUGUUCUAUUAGCUCUUUCACCAUCUUCUUCCUGCACGAACAAAUACUAUGAGCUCAGGCUGAAGGGGAGUUUGUAUUCAUUCAUGCAUUGUAAUCGUUAUUGAAAUAAAUUCAAUCUUUCGGUUCUUUGUU
Molecule: long non-coding RNA, 735 nt
Filed under: Helianthus annuus (common sunflower)
Lineage: Eukaryota; Viridiplantae; Streptophyta; Magnoliopsida; Asterales; Asteraceae
Description: sRNA HanXRQr2_Chr03g0112411
Source: RNAcentral